RNAcentral lists this small nucleolar RNA (84 nucleotides) under Amborella trichopoda. Its description in RNAcentral is "snoRNA snoR44_J54". It matches the Rfam family "Small nucleolar RNA R44/J54/Z268 family". From Rfam's summary of the family: R44, J54 and Z268 are members of the C/D class of snoRNA which contain the C (UGAUGA) and D (CUGA) box motifs. The record is from Rfam by way of RNAcentral. Lineage: Eukaryota; Viridiplantae; Streptophyta; Magnoliopsida; Amborellales; Amborellaceae.
GAUGCAUAUGACGAUUAUCUAGACAGGGACAUCGACAAUCCUGUAGAGGAUGAUGACAUUUUUUGGGAAUCUCUCUGAUGCAUA